This is a long non-coding RNA of Scophthalmus maximus (turbot), 925 nucleotides long. RefSeq lists it as uncharacterized. NCBI's taxonomy places the organism in Eukaryota, Metazoa, Chordata, Actinopteri, Pleuronectiformes, Scophthalmidae. The record is from RefSeq and is a predicted model, not a curated record. The transcript is spliced from 2 exons.
CUCGCGCUCUUUUAGCGAGGCGUUCAUGAACACUGGGAACACUGCAGCCACCGGCGGCGCGUCCGCCACGCGAAGUAGUCCGCCAAUUCACCAGGUCUAGUGGUAACGAUCGAUCAUUUUCUUCGAUGAUUUGACCAAUUGAUACGUUAUUAGUUAUUGGUAUAUUUCUAUGUGCAGCCCAUCUCAUUUGUACCUACAUUAACUCCUUUAAUUAUUUUGAAUUAAACGUGGUGCUUGUGUCUAUCAGUCAUCAAACACUACAAUACAUGUUUGCCAGUUUAUUAUACCAAUGAUGUGCUACUGUGUUUUUAUUUGUAUGUUUAAUCUUUCCAGGAACUGUGGAUGAAAUAUGUAUUUACCAAGUUUUGUGCAAGAAUCUUGUAUGUAGUACAAUGCCCUGAGCGCAGACGCCUGCAGGGCUCGGCCGAAGGAGAACGUCAGGACCCAGGGUUUGGCCAGAGGGCAAUUGUUGAGGGCAUUGAGGUGGACUGAGGCCUCCUCUUCGCUCUGACCGCCUGACAGAAAAGCCACUCCUACAGGGGACAGAUAAUAUGCUGUUACUUCAUUGUCUUUUGUUUCUGCAGAUUUCAUUUCUUUGUAAAAAUCCUCUCUACACGCGGUGUUUUGGGUUUUACCUGUGACCGCAGGGGGAACAGUGCGACGCAAGGCGGUGAUUGUUGCCAUAGCAACCUCCUCUGGGCUGUACCUGGUGGGACAGCUGUGUCCAGGCGUCACCAUGUUGGGUUUGAGGAGAGUGCCCUCCAGGUACACAUGGUGGUCCGACAUGGCUUUGUACACUGCGGCCAGGACCUGCGAUCCACGGCAGAAUUAUUUCUCACUUCUCACUCUUGAAACAACAUUGCCACACACCCGUGCACAUGUACUAUGUAUGACAAAAAAAUAAACCCACCUUCUCAGUGAUGUA